ACUACGGGAGGCAGCAGUGGGGAAUAUUGGGCAAUGGGCGCAAGCCUGACCCAGCAACGCCGCGUGAAGGAAGAAGGCUUUCGGGUUGUAAACUUCUUUUCUCAGGGACGAAGAAAGUGACGGUACCUGAGGAAUAAGCCACGGCUAACUACGUGCCAGCAGCCGCGGUAAUACGUAGGUGGCAAGCGUUAUCCGGAUUUAUUGGGUGUAAAGGGCGUGUAGGCGGGAGCGCAAGUCAGAUGUGAAAACUCAGGGCUCAACCCUGAGCCUGCAUUUGAAACUGUGUUUCUUGAGUGCUGGAGAGGCGAUCGGAAUUCCGGGUGUAGCGGUGAAAUGCGUAGAUAUACGGAGGAACACCAGUGGCGAAGGCGGAUUGCUGGACAGUAACUGACGCUGAGGCGCGAAAGCGUGGGGAGCAAACAGGAUUAGAUACCCGUGUAGUC
RNAcentral lists this ribosomal RNA (443 nucleotides) under uncultured bacterium. RNAcentral's name for it is "partial 16S ribosomal RNA". It matches the Rfam family "Bacterial small subunit ribosomal RNA", at positions 338 to 795 of the family's 1533-position model. The record is from RNAcentral.